RNAcentral lists this non-coding RNA (30 nucleotides) under Homo sapiens (human). The record is from RNAcentral. Lineage: Eukaryota; Metazoa; Chordata; Mammalia; Primates; Hominidae.
UGACCCUCGGGUUAGUGGAACUUAUGGCAU